This 226-nucleotide long non-coding RNA is filed under the name Elaeis guineensis (African oil palm). RNAcentral's name for it is "long non-coding RNA (EGUI_LNC025289)". Lineage: Eukaryota; Viridiplantae; Streptophyta; Magnoliopsida; Arecales; Arecaceae. The record is from RNAcentral.
UGGGAACAGGCAACUGCCGUGCUAAGGACGCGGCAUACUCCAGCAAAUUAGAUUCGGACUUUCUAACCAAAAAAAAAAAGAUUCGGACUGUUGGAUAGUGAGAUGAGGUCUUUUAGAAUGGGGAAUAGUAUAUGGGUUACUAUAUAUUUUUUUGGGUAAAAAUGGGGUUACUAGUUGUUAGUCACUGCAUUGACAAGCCCGCUUCAUUCGAGACUCGUUCUCAAGC